RNAcentral lists this ribosomal RNA (1218 nucleotides) under uncultured Rhizaria. RNAcentral describes it as "SSU rRNA". It matches the Rfam family "Eukaryotic small subunit ribosomal RNA", at positions 577 to 1804 of the family's 1831-position model. The record is from RNAcentral.
CGGUAACUCCAGCUCCAAUAGCGUAUACUAAAGUUGUUGCAGUUAAAAAGCUCGUAGUUGGAUUUCUGCGCGGGCGGGGCGCCCGCUGGCCUAAGGUCAGGUUGGGCAGCAACGCCCACGCAUCCUGCCGCGAACCACGCUACCAUUAGUUUGGUGGCGUCUUGGGGACCGGCUCGUUUACUUUGAGAAAAAUAGAGUGUUCAAAGCAGGCAAUUGCCUUGAAUAAUGUAGCACGGAAUGAUGAUUAAGGACUUUGGUUCUAUUUUGUUGGUGUUCGGGACCGAAGUAAUGAUUGAUAGGGACAGUUGGGGGCGUCUGUAUUCUGAAGCGAGAGGUGAAAUUCUUAGACCUUCGGAAGACAAACAGCUGCGAAAGCGUUCGCCAAGGAUGUUCCCUUUGAUCAAGAACGAAAGUUGGGGGAUCGAAGACGAUCAGAUACCGUCGUAGUCUCAACUAUAAACUAUACCAGCUAGGGAUCGGCCAACGUUGAUUUAUAAAGACUUGGUCGGCACCUUAUGAGAAAUCAAUAGCAUUUGGGUUCCGGGGGGAGUAUGGUCGCAAGGCUGAAACUUAAAGGAAUUGACGGAAGGGCACCACCAGGCGUGGAGCCUGUGGCUUAAUUUGACUCAACACGGGGAAACUUACCAGGUCCAGACAUAGGAAGGAUUGACAGAUUGACAGCUCUUUCUUGAUUCUAUGGGUGGUGGUGCAUGGCCGUUCUUAGUUGGUGGAGUGAUUUGUCUGGUUAAUUCCGUUAACGAACGAGACCCCAGCCUGCUAAAUAGCGCGCGUGGCUCCUGGCCGCGGCGAGCUUCUUAGAGGGACUACGGUUCGCCAUAGACCGGGGAAGUUUGGGGCAAUAACAGGUCUGUGAUGCCCUUAGAUGUUCUGGGCCGCACACGGGCUACACUGACGCGUGCAACGAGCAUAUCAGCUGGCCCGAGAGGGCAUAGGCUAAUCUUUUGAACUCGCGCCGUGCUAGGGAUUGACCAUUGCAAUUGUUGGUCAUGCAACGAGGAAUGCCUUGUAAACGCGAGUCAUCAACUCGCAUUGAAUACGUCCCUGUCCUUUGUACACACCGCCCGUCGCUCCUACCGAUGAAUGUUCCGAUGAAAUUUUCGGAGGGCGCCUGUGAAGGGGCGCGAGCCCCGGAACGGGAGGCCCCAAGUUGCUUAAAUCUGAACAUUUCGAGGAAGGAGAAGUCGUAACAAGGUAACC